UGAAAACAAAAUUCUUGGAAAACGAAAUAUUGAGCAUUGGUUCUAUUUUUAUAUUCAGACAUACUGCUGCCCAGCCGGCAUUUGGCAUUACGAAUUGUAAACAAUCCACCAGGGUUGCACAGAAAAAUGUUGUUGCUGGGCAAAUGACCCUACCUUCUAAGUUCUUGUACCAUGAGCAAUGCCUUAUUGCAAACGAACCUAUAAGUUGUAGAAGUAAACCUCUGACACUUAAUCCCAUAAUGGACGAAAAUAAGCUGCUAAGAGUCAACGGUCGACUCGCUAACUCGGACAUGAGUUAUAAUAAGACACAUCCACUGAUUGUACCAGAAAGCUCCUUCUUCAGUAAACUUUUGAUUGAGUUUACACAAAAUUUGGUUACAUGCCAAACACCAGUGGUGCAAUUCAUAAAGAAUUCUAUAUAAUACGUGUUAAAAAUGCAAUACGUCAUUAAGUAAGGAAAUGUCAAACAUGUGCAAUUUAUAAACAUAGAAUCAGAACCCAAAUAAUAACCGCUUUACCGACUGAA
This is a long non-coding RNA of Stomoxys calcitrans (stable fly), 526 nucleotides long. RefSeq lists it as uncharacterized. Lineage: Eukaryota; Metazoa; Arthropoda; Insecta; Diptera; Muscidae. The record is from RefSeq and is a predicted model, not a curated record. The transcript has 2 exons.